UACGUAGGUGGCAAGCGUUGUCCGGAUUUAUUGGGUUUAAAGGGUGCGUAGGCGGCCUUGUAAGUCAGUGCUGAAAUAUUCCGGCUUAACCGGGAGGGUGGCAUUGAUACUGUGAGGCUAGAGUACAGAUGAGGUAGGCGGAAUUGACGGUGUAGCGGUGAAAUGCUUAGAUAUCGUCAAGAACACCUAUAGCGAAGGCAGCUUACUAGGCUGUAACUGACGCUGAGGCACGAAAGCGUGGGGAGCGAACAGG
RNAcentral lists this ribosomal RNA (253 nucleotides) under uncultured bacterium. Its description in RNAcentral is "partial 16S ribosomal RNA". It matches the Rfam family "Bacterial small subunit ribosomal RNA", at positions 524 to 776 of the family's 1533-position model. The record is from RNAcentral.